Molecule: long non-coding RNA, 2967 nt
Organism: Triticum dicoccoides
Lineage: Eukaryota; Viridiplantae; Streptophyta; Magnoliopsida; Poales; Poaceae
Exons: 5
Source: RefSeq, a predicted model, not a curated record
UGAAAAAACCCUAUUUUUUGUUUGAAAUUCAGUCCGCACUCCUUUGUUCCACCCCUCGACCCCGGCUGCAUCUGGCGACGCCGCCACCUCGCCGCCAGCCCGCGUCAUCCGCCGCCCCUUGCCGGCACGCGCUCUCCCCGUCCGCCUCCGGCCUCCAUCAUCUCCGCACCGGCGACCUCCCCUUGCCUCCUCCUCCUUCCCUUCUCUUCCACCUAGAUUGAGAAGGGAAGCCAUGGCGCUCCCGCAGCGGCUAGAUCCAGACCAAACCCGUGGGGUUCCAGCUCGACCUCCUCGCAGCGACCAUGGAGGCGGAAUCCGCGGAUCCCACGACCACGGUGGUGCGAGCCCCCCCUCCCGCGCACUCCUUCCCUUCCACUCUGUUCCAUUGAUGCAAAAUUUUCUCUUUUUUUCAUGAUUGACCACUCGCAAUGGAGUUGGAAGCAGGAGGGAUGUGGGUCAGGCAUCUACAUGUGCUGCUGAAUUCGAUUGAUGGUUCUUGAUUGUUGAGUAAUUCCUGUUAGUUGUUAUAUGUGCUGCUGAAUUCUCCAUUAGGGACUUGAUUCAUAUUGGUUGCUGACUUCAUUGUUGAUUGUUGAUUGUCGAGAGAAAAUCCAGGAGAGCGGUUGAUGCUAGCGCUGGCGAUGCGUCAUCUCCCGCCCACGCAGCCUCCCCACUAUGCCUCCACACCCAGAUUCGAGUCCUCUCGGUCUCCCUCCCCCAUCUGUGGUCGGCAACGACAGUCACAAUGAUAGCGAAGUGGUACGACCAGGGGAUGGCGCACAUACGUUGUUGCCGUCGGCUGGCCUAUGCUCGCGUUCAGGAAUGAUGCGUGUUUGCUUUACUGUAGGUGCUUUGGCGCUCUGUAUUUGCUUGUUGUAGAUGCUCUGCUUCCUCUGUUUUCUGCUUUGUCGUGUAUCAAUUGGGUGGUUUGUAGCUGCUGAUGUAAUCCAAGAUGAAGCAGGCAUACAUGUGGACGCUGCUUCUCGCUUGUCUAGCUGCAACUGAUCGCUGGACAAUCACUUAGGGCAGUAUCAUUGCCAUAUAAUUAUUGCAGAGUUGUGUAAGUUUGAUUCAUGAAUGAUAGGACCAAGGAAGGAUAAAUGAAAUGCUUUGCAGUUCAAAAGAGAGUUAACAAUGAUUUAACGACGUUGGAUGGCUGAAUGUGCUCCUAAAGAAGAGGUCGGCUGCUAACAGGUUCCAGGUGGCCGGGAUUGAGGAAAUUAUAUCAGGAAACGAUUUUACAAGGAUGCAUCCCUUUUUACAUGGGGAAGCAGAUAACAGUAACGAACCAAGCAAGAUGACUAUGGUGCGUGACCUCAAGCUGUGAUAAGACAGAAACUGGAACUUCUGUGCCCGUUGAAGAUGAGACGGACGAAGUUACUGAUGAAGCAAUUGGUGCAAAGCUCAAUAUUUUAUAUACACAGAAAAGGGCAGUUUCUUCAGAACUUGCCACUGCUCAUGCAUGUGAAAAGAACAUAGCUGAUAAAAACAAGUCUCUUAAGCACAAGGUAAGGAAGUCAUUCUUGGAGAAGCAGAGAUUGUUGUAACAACACUCAGUGGGUGUGGAGGUGAUAUUUACGGAGUUUGCUCGGAAAUUGCUUCAACUAAGGAAUAUGGGAAUUUCUCUGAGCAAACUUUGUUUGAUGUUUUUGUUAUCGAUUUAAGCUGCACAGGCUCUUGAGCAUGCAACUUUGAUUCCACUUCAGCUACUCAAGUCAAAAGGAACUAAGUGCAUAAUGGUAACAUGCUCUCUUUUAAAACAUUUCUGAUUAAAGAAUAGUUUUUAGCUACACCUUGAAGCAACAUUACAGUGCUAUCUCUUACUUAGUAAUGUCUCUUUUGAAGGUUGGUGAUCCGAAGCAGCUACCUGCUAUCUCUUACUUAGUAAUGUUACUUAUUAAAGCGCAUGUCAAACCAUGUUGUCAUUCUUGGAUUUUAGUUUUCGGUGUGCCAUAUCUUUUUUACAUUUAUGUCCUAAAAAUGCUCUGAUUCCAAUGAUGAUCAACCUUAUGCAAUUUUAUGUGAAAACAAUAGCAACCUCAUUAACAUGAUUACAAGUAACAAGCUGCGCAUACAUAGUCCCCGUGUGUUGUUUGAGUAUGCCAUUCUUAAUGGAUUACUAAAUUUGUAUGUGAGAACUGAGAAGAGCUAUCAACUGCAGGCCGUAUGCUAAUUUCUCAAUUAUUUUGUAUUGUCUGCACGAUCGAAUGCAUCCUUACAUUAGCAGAUUCCCGUCGUUGCAUUUCUAUGAAAACAAACUGCUGGAUGGUGCUCAGAAGGCUGAGAAAUCAGAUCCUUUCCAUGAUCACCGUUGUCUUGGUCCAUACAUGUUCUUUGAUAUUGCCGAUGGUCGUGAGCAUGCUGGAACAAGUGCUGCUGCACAAUCACUCUCUAAUCAAUUUGAAGCUGGUGCAGCACUUGAAAUACUGUCAUUUUUAAAGAACAAAUAUCCAACAGAUUUCUCCUGUAGAAAGAUAGGGACCAUAACUUAUGGCUAUGUUGGGGAAGAGUUCUUGCGGGUAGCAUCUUUCCAUUGUCUGUAAAUUGAUGUAUAAAGCGGGCAUUCCAUUCUUUAAAAAUUGAUAGAUAAAAUGGAUGCAGGUGUGAGCUUGAGGAAGAAGGAGACGGCAAGUGAAAGACCGAGAAGACCAGGAAUUAUUCUUUGCUGGCCGUAAGGUGGAGGCGCUGCUUAGGGAACAUGUGCGGACAUCCUUGCUCCUUUUAUUCUUCCAGUUUUAGGUACUCUCCAGCAGGCUUGUACGGAGUACCUAUCUUGCUAUGUACUGAAUUAUUUGCAACUAUGUAGCAAACUGUAUUAGGAGAUCUAGAUAUAUAAUGCGUGUGUGUAUGAAUUAAUUAUUACCAUCACCUAGCUAGCUUGUUACCUGAAAGAUCGAGGCGAACUUUUAUUGUAUGGAUGCUGUGUCGCUGGUUUUCUGUGAUGUUUCAGGGACACAUUGUUUUUCA